This 340-nucleotide unclassified non-coding RNA is filed under the name uncultured fungus. RNAcentral's name for it is "partial contains small subunit ribosomal RNA, internal transcribed spacer 1, and 5.8S ribosomal RNA". The stretch from base 1 to 73 matches the Rfam family "Eukaryotic small subunit ribosomal RNA", at positions 1759 to 1831 of the family's 1831-position model. Lineage: Eukaryota; Fungi. The record is from RNAcentral.
GCAAACUUGGUCAUUUAGAGGAAGUAAAAGUCGUAACAAGGUUUCCGUAGGUGAACCUGCGGAAGGAUCAUCACUGAUCUGGGGGGUGUGCGUGUGUAGGCGCGGGCAACUGCCUGCGCUGUGAGCACACACACACACCCCAACCAAUCUUGUGUGAACCGUAACACGCACUGUGCGUGAUGGGAUUGGUUGGCGGCGGGGAGAGAUCCGCCGCCACCGCCGACCACCAUCACGCGAGCAUUAUCUCCUUUAAAAUCUUGUCUAACACACAUUACACACACUAAAUUACACAACUUUUAACAAUGGAUCUCUUGGCUCUCGCAUCGAUGAAGAACGCAGC